This 1300-nucleotide long non-coding RNA is filed under the name Manacus vitellinus (golden-collared manakin). RNAcentral describes it as "lncRNA (ENSMVIG00005004691.1)". Lineage: Eukaryota; Metazoa; Chordata; Aves; Passeriformes; Pipridae. The record is from RNAcentral.
GUAGUAGUCUAGUGAACACUGCUAAAUCAGGCACUGUUAUCCAUGCACUCCAUGUGCCACUCCCAUCAAACUAUCUAUACCAGAGGCUGAUGCAACCCUUUAUUGUUGAACUUAUCCAGAAAGAACCCUUCUUUUUUUGAAGAAAUUCCUCUGUGGGUUUCUCUCCAGGUUUCCUGGAUGAAAGCAAGAUUUCUUAAUCUCAUUUAGGAAUCACUGUGGCUUACCAGGAGACACCAGGUGUGAUGGUCCCUAUGCAAAUAUGCACAGACAUUCAGUAUGCAGGUAAGUGGAUUAAAGAUUAAUUUAUCCUUUCCUAAGAACCAGUGAAAAUUCUCUGCAAACUCACAGAAAGACAUAUUAGCAAUUUUUUUUCAGAUGAUAAUUGCAAUUAAACUUUAUUUCACUUGCUUUAGGUAAAAUCAUCAUCUUCAAGGAAAAUUCAGGCGGAAGCACAUUACCACCCAACAGGCUUUUAAGCACAGAAGCAGAAUCCUACUGGAGAAGUUUGCACUAUGAAAACAGUUACAAUAUUAAAUUGCUCACAGGCAGGUAAAAGCCAUCACAUCUACAGACGUGGACAAAGGUACUUAUGUCCAUGUGAUUUCCAUAGUAUUCUUAAUUAGCUUGGAAGUUACACCAGACCAGCAAGAUGACUGCAAAAGAAUAAUUUUUCUACCCAAAGCAUAUAGUCUUUGGAAAAACUGUUCAAUUCCUGGUUUUCAUCUGCCUUUAAUAACCUUAGUGAGCUGUUUAAAAGUAAAUCUGUGAACCAAAUUUGUUUUGCAAUUAAAAAGUGAGUUUUAAAUAUGAUUUGAUGAAACAAAGCUCCUCUUUCUAUUUAGGGUUUCCAGUGAAAUUCUACCUUCUUACACAGAUCACGAAAUGAGGACCUCGUAAAUCAAAAUAAUACCAUGAAGAGCGGUAUUUCUUAAUGAACAACAAUUAUGUGAUAGGAAGAAUGGCCAACUUUUUGGAAAACUUUAUUAUUAAAAAGCCUGAAACCUUCUUCAAAAGAACAAUUUUCCUCUGUUUGUAUUGGAUAAGUAGCAAAAUAUUUUGCACCUAACAUAAUUCUCUCUAUAUUUUAGAUCAAAAAUUAAGUAAUCGAGUUAAAAAGGAGCAUGCAGACAUUUUUAAGGAUUAAACCACACUCAUUGGGAAAAAAUAUAUUUAAAAAAUCACUUUUAUCAGCAUCAUGAAAAGUAAUAUCAAUUGUCAUUCACACACAUACACACACACCUUUCUUUGUACUACUGUUCUUUCUUUGUACUACUGUUUGGGUUUUUAUCCCUUACUCAUU